Molecule: ribosomal RNA, 274 nt
Filed under: uncultured bacterium
Lineage: Bacteria
Description: partial 16S ribosomal RNA
Rfam family: Bacterial small subunit ribosomal RNA
Source: RNAcentral
AUACAGAGGGUGCGAGCGUUAAUCGGAAUUACUGGGCGUAAAGCGCGCGUAGGCGGUUCGGCAAGUCGGGUGUGAAAUCCCCGGGCUCAACCUGGGAAUUGCAUCCGAAACUGCCGGGCUAGAGUGUGGUAGAGGGAAGCGGAAUUCCGCAUGUAGCGGUGAAAUGCGUAGAUAUGCGGAGGAACACCAGUGGCGAAGGCGGCUUCCUGGACCAACACUGACGCUGAGGUGCGAAAGCGUGGGGAGCAAACAGGAUUAGAAACCCUAGUAGUCC